Molecule: ribosomal RNA, 310 nt
Filed under: uncultured bacterium
Lineage: Bacteria
Description: bacterial SSU rRNA
Rfam family: Bacterial small subunit ribosomal RNA
Source: RNAcentral
GCAAAGGGCGCCACGUGUGGCGCUUUGCGAGUACCUGAAGAAAAAGCAUCGGCUAACUCCGUGCCAGCAGCCGCGGUAAUACGGAGGAAUGCGAGCGUUAUCCGGAUUUAUUGGGUUUAAAGGGUGCGCAGGCGGAAUGUCAAGUCAGCGGUAAAAUUUCGGGGCUCAACCCCGUCGUGCCGUUGAAACUGGCGUUCUUGAGUGAGCGAGAAGUAUGCGGAAUGAGUGGUGUAGCGGUGAAAUGCAUAGAUAUCACGCAGAACUCCGAUUGCGAAGGCAGCAUACCGGCGCUCAACUGACGCUCAUGCAC